GAUUGAUUAGGAUAGUAGGAGGAAUUGUGAACUUCGUAUUGCGGGGCUCCAUCUCUUUCUGAGGAGGCAAUCCCAGUUAGUAGUUGGAAAGAGGUUGGUUGGAAACAGCUGGUAGGAAGCAGUUGGUAGGCUGUUGGUUGGAAGCAGUUGGAACAGUUAGAAUCAGUUGGUUGGAAGCAGUUGGAAACAGAAACGGUUGGAAGCAGUUGGUUAUUAGUGAGAUGUCAGACUUCAUCUUUCUCUUUUCUGCUGCUCAGCAUCUACAUGACACCUCUGAUUCAAGGCAAGGGUAAACAUUCCUUGCAUGUGAAGGAAUCAGGACCUUGAGAACAUCCAAUUCAAGAUUUUUUUCAGUCUGUGUUGG
Molecule: long non-coding RNA, 364 nt
Organism: Pantherophis guttatus
Lineage: Eukaryota; Metazoa; Chordata; Lepidosauria; Squamata; Colubridae
Source: RefSeq, a predicted model, not a curated record